GACCUGAUAGCACAACGGCUAGUGCAUCUGCAUGCUGUGGAAUUUUCUCGCCUUAUGUUUCCGCAGAAGAUCCCCGUUCGACUCGGGGUCAGGUCA
Non-coding RNA from Mycena latifolia, 96 nucleotides. Lineage: Eukaryota; Fungi; Basidiomycota; Agaricomycetes; Agaricales; Mycenaceae. The record is from the annotation of a GenBank genome assembly.